Canis lupus familiaris (dog) is the source of this 975-nucleotide long non-coding RNA. RefSeq lists it as uncharacterized. NCBI's taxonomy places the organism in Eukaryota, Metazoa, Chordata, Mammalia, Carnivora, Canidae. The transcript has 3 exons. The record is from RefSeq and is a predicted model, not a curated record.
GAUCAUCAGGAUCAUUUCAGAACCUCGAGGAAUGUGGGCCACCCUAGGAAGAUAUGGGUGGAUUCCCUCACCACAAGAGAAGGAACCCCACCCCACCUUCUCCAGAAUUCUUUCACUCCCAAAGACCAGAAGGAACACCUGUCUCUGUUGGAAGACCCCUUAUCUUCUCCAGGGGUAGAUCUACCUCCAUGUCCCUACCCCAUCUCUGGAUUCACCAGAUGGAGCCCAUAACGGAGAAAGCUGGUGUGGAGGAACGGAGACAACGCUCAAUGAUAACGUCCAGAUCCCUUGGCAUGAGUUGAGCGAUGGCAGGAUCCAGGAGGAAGAGUACUGCCUGCAGCCAAGAGCAUGAGAGCCUGGGGUAGGACCGUGGGAAGAAGUAGAUGGGAUAGAAGACCAGAACUCCUGGCAACCACAACACAGGGCUUGAGUGCCUCGUGACUCCCCUGAACGGUGGGGAAGACCUCGCCUAGCCAGGGGCUUGGAGGAGGGGGUGUCCUAAGCAGACAAGAGGCCCCACUUGGAGCAGACCCCAGCAGCAGCCUUCUGGGAAUUAUGCACUUUGCCAGAAGAAUCGGGGUUGAAACCCUUUGCAAGCUGAGCUGUCUCUGUCUCCCCUCCGUGCCAGUCAUAGGGCUGGGCACCCAGAGAGAGAGCUGACAGCCUUUGAUGAACCGGCCCCUGAGGGCAGGAGACACAAAAGCAGAGAGACAGUGGAAUAUAAAAAUGGGAGAGAUGGACGAUUUCACCCCUCCUGCCCCAGGAAGCUGCUGCCACCUACUUCUCCCCCAAGUUGGCCAAGGGACUAGAGGAGGUCAAGGGGUCUGCUGGGUCUGCAGACAGGCAGGAGGAAGGUGGAGGUGUGAAUACCUGCUCUCCCCACCCCACCACUUUCACUGUAGCCCAAACAAUAUACAAUGCCUCCUCUCAUUAGUUUUCAUCAGCAUGUGACAGGCCAGGAGCAGCUGAGACAGC